GAUGAACGCUAGCGGUAGGCUUAACACAUGCAAGUCGAGGGGCAGCAUGAGAGUUACUUGUAACUCUUGAUGGCGACCGGCGUAAGGGUGCGUAACACGUGAACAACUUGCCCAUAACAGAGGGAUAACCAGUGGAAACGCUGACUAAUACCUCAUAACAAUGAGAGUCUCAUGACUUUUAUCUGAAAACUCAGGUGGUUAUGGAUAGGUUCGCGCCCCAUUAGCUAGUCGGUGAGGUAACGGCUCACCGAGGCGACGAUGGGUAGGGGUUCUGAGAGGAAGGUCCCCCACACUGGAACUGAGACACGGUCCAGACUCCUACGGGAGGCAGCAGUGAGGAAUAUUGGUCAAUGGACGCAAGUCUGAACCAGCCAUGCCGCGUGCAGGAAUAAUGCCCUAUGGGUUGUAAACUGCUUUUGAUGCAGAGCAAUAAUAUCUACGAGUAGAUAGAUGAGAGUAUGUAUCGAAUAAGCACCGGCUAACUCCGUGCCAGCAGCCGCGGUAAUACGGAGGGUGCAAGCGUUAUCCGGAAUUAUUGGGUUUAAAGGGUGCGUAGGCUGUACGGUAAGUCAGAGGUGAAAUACCUGUGCCCAACAGAGGAAUUGCCUUUGAUACUGCCGUACUUGAGUGAUAGUGCCGUGGGAGGAAUGUGUAGUGUAGCGGUGAAAUGCAUAGAUAUUACACAGAACACCGAUUGCGAAGGCAUCUCACGAAUUAUCAACUGACGCUGAUGCACGAAAGCGUGGGUAUCGAACAGG
RNAcentral lists this ribosomal RNA (758 nucleotides) under uncultured bacterium. RNAcentral's name for it is "bacterial SSU rRNA". It matches the Rfam family "Bacterial small subunit ribosomal RNA", at positions 28 to 776 of the family's 1533-position model. The record is from RNAcentral.